CGCCCAGUAAUCUCUACUCCAACCAAAGUCCUUGGUCAGAGUUUCUGCAUAUCCUUCGAGCAUCCAUCCAUGGCGACUUCUCUGUCUACCACACUUUCGACCAAUAAUCUCUACUCCAACAGGAGCACCAACCCGACUUCAACACAUCUGCUUCCUGGCCUAUCACCCAAUCGCACUCUCAUACUUUCUACGAUUCCCAAACACCUCAAGUAUACAACCAGUUUCUCACCACGGCAAACCCUCUUGAUCAUGACUUCUGCAGGGUUGUCCUGCGGAUAAAUUAUGACAUCUGCGGAUGUCAACUGGUACCGAAACUUCAGUGGCAGGGGAAGAUACCGCAAGUGUUCUGCUGAAGGUGAAAGUGUUGGAUUUGAAUGGAAAUGCGAUCCCGAUUUCUGAUUUGCGGAAAGACAGGAAAGCUGUCGUGGCAUUCGCUCGCCAUUUCGGUGUGUCUUUUGCCGCAAACGAGCUGAUUACCUUACCACCAAGAAGCAAGGUGGAAUUAUAGUUGCAAGUCCUGUCAAAACUAACAUCUCAUUCAUUCACAAGGUAAUUAAGUUCCUCAACACAGCAUGUCCCUUUUCUCUUUUGUCCUCAUGCCCAGAACACGGUUAAUCAUCAAUAUGACCAUUGUUAUAUAUUUGUUAUUCACCAACAGUUUCAUUUUUUUUCCUAACGCAUGGACCAAUUAACGUGUAUAUUUUUACACUUUAUAACCUUAUAUGAAUAUAUUUUCUUAUGCAA
Molecule: long non-coding RNA, 744 nt
Organism: Juglans regia (Persian walnut)
Lineage: Eukaryota; Viridiplantae; Streptophyta; Magnoliopsida; Fagales; Juglandaceae
Exons: 4
Source: RefSeq, a predicted model, not a curated record